GUGUAGAUGGGCCACAGUCACCGUGGAUAACAUGGCAUUCAAAUUGGAGAUUUCUUAUAAUAGCCUUCUUACAAAUAACUUUAUUCUCCAAAACCCAAAAAGAAAAAAACGAUUCUUAAUAUUAGCAUUACUUUCAACUUUUAAAAUUUUUGUAAGCUUGAAAAUAUUUUUAUAUGCACACUCUAAUAGAUAGUUUACACAAAAUAAAUAAAGUAAUAAUAAAAUGUUGAUUAGUGACUUGUUAAGCUGCGAUUUUGUUAUAGACUUAUGGCACUGAGUGUUUUGAAUUUUGAAUUUAUGACAAGUGAUUUGUGAUUUGUGAUUAGUGAUUAGUUAUCUUGUUAUGCUACUGGAUUGAUUUAAUUUAGAGGUGAUUAUUUUGACUUUGUUUUGUGUACAGGAUAAUUUUUUCGUACUGGUAAAGACAACAGAAGUUGCUGCGGUACCGUUUAUAACAACUUCAUAUGGCAUCUCAAAAUGAAGGAACUAAGCACAGGAGGAUAUGAUGUGAAGAAAAUAUGUUCAAUACAAAUAUAAGAUGGGAUGGGUCUUAUAAUGAUUUUGGUUAUCUAAAUGUAUUAUUUUGAUGUCUUCUUUACAUUUUGAUAAGAGAUUUUAUUCGAUAAUACAUGUAAUGGAUAAAUUACACUCUAUUUUGAUUAGUGUUGUAAUGGAUAUCUACUUUUUAAUGAAACUUUUAUGAUU
Molecule: non-coding RNA, 705 nt
Organism: Arachis ipaensis
Lineage: Eukaryota; Viridiplantae; Streptophyta; Magnoliopsida; Fabales; Fabaceae
Source: RefSeq, a predicted model, not a curated record